AGUUAAAUAUUUUAAUGAAAAUAUUAUGUUUUGAAAACAUAAAUUAAGAGGUUAAAAUCCUCUAUUAACUU
Molecule: transfer RNA, 71 nt
Filed under: Ectobius sp. Z254C
Lineage: Eukaryota; Metazoa; Arthropoda; Insecta; Blattodea; Ectobiidae
Description: tRNA-Ser
Rfam family: tRNA
About the family: Transfer RNA (tRNA) molecules are approximately 80 nucleotides in length. Their secondary structure includes four short double-helical elements and three loops (D, anti-codon, and T loops).
Source: RNAcentral